Spea bombifrons (plains spadefoot toad) is the source of this 500-nucleotide long non-coding RNA. RefSeq lists it as uncharacterized. The record is from RefSeq and is a predicted model, not a curated record. NCBI's taxonomy places the organism in Eukaryota, Metazoa, Chordata, Amphibia, Anura, Pelobatidae. The transcript is spliced from 3 exons.
CCAUCCUCUCGGCUCUUACCGGGUUACAUCCUGUCAUUGCUGGCUGAGGGAGAGAUGGAGGCAGCGCAGAGCUCCUGGAGCGCUCAGCCCAGCUGCACCUCUCCGUGCGCGUAGAGGGAUCUCUCUGCAAUCAUCCCAAAAGCACAUCACCAUCCCCAGGGAACUGGUCUGUGCAUAAUAUGGAGUUUCGCUCUAAAUCCUGAACCUGAAAUAACAAUGGCCAACCCUGUUCCAUUCAGAAACAAGCAAUUUGUUUAUAAUAAGGAAGAAGAAUAAAGACUGGUAAGACGGUCAUGAAAAUAACCAGCCUGCUACAGGGUAAUCUGAUUUUGACAUCAGUCGAUGUGUGAUUUUCUUCCAGAGCUGGUUCACUAACUGUAAGUAACUUGAAAAGACAGUCAAAUGUACCAUAGAAUUUUCUUUCUCCCUUGAGAGAGAGAGAGAGAGAGAGACAAGCUGAAACCACAUCAAAGCGAGUCACAUCAUUUUACUAGAAAUGU